UACGUAGGUGGCAAGCGUUGUCCGGAUUUAUUGGGUUUAAAGGGUGCGUAGGCGGCUUUAUAAGUCAGUGCUGAAAUAUCCCGGCUUAACCGGGAGGGUGGCAUUGAUACUGCAGAGCUUGAGUGAAGUCGAGGUAGGCGGAAUUCCAGGUGUAGCGGUGAAAUGCGUAGAUAUCUGGAGGAAUACUGGUGGCGAAGGCGGCAUCCUGGACCGGCAUUGACGCUGAGGAGCGAAAGCGUGGGGAGCGAACAGG
RNAcentral lists this ribosomal RNA (253 nucleotides) under uncultured bacterium. RNAcentral's name for it is "partial 16S ribosomal RNA". It matches the Rfam family "Bacterial small subunit ribosomal RNA", at positions 524 to 776 of the family's 1533-position model. The record is from RNAcentral.